AAACACGAGUUCUAAGUAUCAAUACCAAGACGGAACUAUCAAAAUAAAUUUAGACAUGUUGUACUAGUCUAAAGAGUACAAUUAUGAAUUCCAACUAUGAACACCAAACGAACUAUCAAAUAAAUUGACAAGCAAUAAUUAUGAGAUGCAAUACUGAAUUUCGAAACGAAUAACGAAACGAAUAAAUCAAAAACAAAAGAGUCUCGCUGAAAGAG
Molecule: long non-coding RNA, 215 nt
Filed under: Panax ginseng (ginseng)
Lineage: Eukaryota; Viridiplantae; Streptophyta; Magnoliopsida; Apiales; Araliaceae
Description: long non-coding RNA (PGIN_LNC001076)
Source: RNAcentral